UUGUUUGUUUUUUUGUUUGUUUUUCGAGACAGGGUUUCUCUUUAUAACCCUGGCUAUCCUGAAACUCACUUUGUAGACCAGGCUGGCCUCGAACUCAGAAAUCCACCUGCCUCUGCCUCUGCCUCCUGAGUGCUGGGAUUAAAGGCGUGCGCCACCAUGCCCAGCUUAAGUCCCUUUUUACUGGGUUCAGUGUCAUUUGUCUUUGAUUUGCCUCACAGGCCUGGCACAGUAAGUACUCUAUACCAAGAAGAGAUUUAAUGACUGUAUUUUGGCCACCAUGGCCCUCUUUAUUUCUCUGCUAUAAAACUGGGAGCAGCAUACAGCCCAGUCACAUACUGGGCAGAGAACAACUUAUUUCUAACUUUGCCCAGCAUUUAUGUGACAGGGACUCUUUUAAGCAUUGAGUGGAUCUGCAUAAAAAGCCUAUAAUAGUUAUUAAAUUCACUUUGUAGGUGGGCAAGCUAAGGCAGAAUAAACUUGAAGUGGUUAACAAAGAUUUUGGAAUGUAGUAGUAAAAAGGUCAAUCCAGGAUCCCUGCUCUUACCCAACAUGUACGAGAGCGUCUGAGCCCAAGAAAGUGAAAUGAAAACCCAUCAGCAACAGUAAGAACCACUUUUACGACACGGUAGGUAACAACAUAAAACAAUAUGGUGUGUGUGUGUGUGCAUGGAACCACUGGUUACCUCUGAAGAGACAUACAUACUAUGUAUUUAUAAAACACAUAAAAUAAAUUAUUUCAUCCCAUCCAUCAAACUUCAUUGACAGAAUUAAAAAAUAAACUCAGGUAAAGUGGAAAAGAAAUAUAUUUAGAAUAAAAAUGAAAUAUACAAAUAAUUUGGAGACAUGGGCAGACUAUACACAUAAAAUUAUACUAAAGGAUAUUUUAAAAGUCACUAAUAAAUGCAUUAAAAGAACACUUUCCUACCGGAAAGUCUCAGUUAAUAGAGAGGUGGUCCUUUUUCCAAAACAAGUUUUGAGAAUUAACACAAUCUCAAAUCAGUUUACUCCAAGAGGAAGCAAUAUGGCUUCAACAAACAAGCAUUUGCACAGGAAUUGGUAAAUCUUACAAGGUAAUUCCAAGGCACACCUUUUGAUGUGGGAUAGCAAGUAAUACACCUGGCAGCAAUGAUGAUUUAUGCUUCUUAGAACCAGUAAGAAUGUCUUCCUUAAAUUUUGUUCGUAAUAGGAAGGGCUGAGUGAUAAAUGGGACGAGAAGGGCAGCUAUGUUGAUUCAAAUUAUAGAAAAUGUACAUAGUAUGACCAUUUUUUAUUACAUAUAGGGAAUAUAAUUUAAUGAAAGUGAGCUGAGAGGCAUGAGAGAAGGUUUCCUGCUGGCUUUCUACAUGUCUGCAAAGAACAUGUAUGACCUCAGUGACCUGUACUCAAAAUUUCACUCCACAAUGAGUCUUGUGCCAGACACAUGGACGGUGAGCAGGGCAGCAAGGAAACCGGCGUGCACUUGCGCGCACACCCACACCUGCAGUUUCUGGUGAUAAUCCGCAUGGUGAGAUCAUCACUGAAGCCGCAUUGUGGUCCCGCAGGGAGAGCAAGGGUCGAGCAGGAGAUGCCAGGUCACUGUGACCUGCGGGGGUUCAGGUCCCGCGACAACCUCCUGAACGCAGUGCGGCACGGGCGACGCCUGGCACAAGAACCUGAGCGAAAGCUGCGACACACCCAUCCAUCCACUCUGGGGAAAAUAAUAGUGACUGAAAACCCCUAGCUUGGCAUCUAGGGCCCUCGCUGACCUUGGGGAGUCCCCUCUGCCCACCGGCCUCAGUUUGCCCACCUUCAGGCAGAGACUGCGAGUCCAGCGCAGUGGCGUUCCAGGCGCGGGCGUUCCCGGGAGCGGGAGGGGCGCCUUCCUCCGGUCACCUUCGCUGGAGGACGCGCCCCGCCGAGGACGGGCGGAGGGGCCCCCGCUCCCGGGCAGCCAUUAGGGGGUAGCGCUCAGGCCGGCCGCUGUGUGGGGCUCCCGGGCUGCAUCCUCGGGCCUGGUGACAACCCGGCCCGGCCGGCGACAGCCAAAGAGCGAGGCGACCCGCCUGGUGCCACAGACGCACCGAGGGCGGGGCCGCGGCCGAGCCAGCCUGCGGGGCUCAGGGCGGGGGACGCAGGCCUCGGGAGCACCACUCCCCUCAUCGGCCGUCGCUCCCACAUCGCGUCCCCUCGAGGGCGCGCUUCUCCGCGACACCAGCCCGGCAGGAAACCUACCCCGUGGAGGCGUCAGCUACGUCCUGGCUUGCCAAGGCCACCGCCGCUGUAGCCCAGGCCACCGCUGCUGUAGCCCAGGCUGGCUGGUCUCGAUGGUGGCGCCUUGGCAGAACCCUGCCGGGCGGAGAGUAGCGGAAGGCUCGCCUCCUCCAGCAUUCGCUCCGGUGCAGGGCUCCCCUCGCUCUGCCAGGCCACGUGACCUGAGAGCUGCGGAGCAACUGCAGCCCCCAAAGCUGGCUUGGGGGUGGGGGUUGCGGGGCGGGGUGGGGGAGAGGCAAAAGGCGCCAACUGAUGGGCAGCGAGGGAAAAGCAGGGUCGCUCCCAAGUCAGGAGAACAGGAUGAUGUCCCUUUUAUAAUGUGAAUGCAAGCCUAGGUUUUAUUCCAUCAGGUGGGCACAAGAAGAAAGAUGUAUUUUAAUAAAGCAUCUCGCCCUUUGCGGAAGCGUUUGUGUAGAAACCUAUUUCUCUGUUUCUGAAUGGGCUUUAAUCUUCUAAACGCCUUCUGUUUAAAUGCAAAAGCCCCUGGGAGACAUAACUGGAGAGGGAGAAAAAUAUACGCACUGGGGUAGAGUAAUCCUGACGUGCAACACAGGGAAAGCAUAGGAAAUGACUCAAGGAAGGGGGAAAAAAACUGCAUGUCUGACUAUGAGAAGGUAAAAAACAGCCAGCUUAGUACCCUGGCCUCACCAGGGCUCUCACCACCAUACAUCUUUGUGGCCAUUUUUAUUGCUUCUAUUCCAUGUCAGUUUGCCAGUGUAGGCUAGGACUUAAAUGAGUAUUUUGGAUGUACAUAUAAUAGGAAUUUUUUUUUUGGUGAUCAUAAUGUUGUAUUGUCUGAUCAUUAUCACUUAAAUACUCAGGAUGGAAACAAGUUGCAAGAUUAGGAGGCACCGAUAGAAAAUAUCCAGUAAAACCCUUUCUGUAACAGGGUACAUACGAGUUUACAGGGUUAAAAAGAGGAAAUUCCAUAAGUAAAUUAUUUGAUGCAAAAAAUGAGAUCAUCAUCUUGUUUCCAGAUGUUCUAGCUGCUUUCUACUACAGAGGCGAACAAUCCUGAGCUCAGCCUAUUGAGCCAAGUUCCUGCUGUUGAAGCCUCUCAGAACUCAUGUCACUGGGGUUCUUUGUGUCCACUUGAAGGAGCCUUGAGGUGAUCGCAGAAAAAGACAACCAACUACAAGAAAGGCCAUGAUAUCUGCCUGAUUUAGCUUUGUCAGCUGUGGAAAACUGUCUGUGAAGAUUAAUGAAGCUGUGCAUCAUCCACUUUCUUCUCACUUUAAAUGUUCACACGUCUUAUCAUAUGUUCUAUUGCUCUGUAAUCAGGCGUAUGUACACGGAUGACGGCUCUCCCCUCUACCAAUACAAAGUGCCUCUACCUUUGGCAGUAUGUUUAUAACGCAUCUGAUAAUAAACCAGCUAUUCCGGC
Molecule: long non-coding RNA, 3634 nt
Organism: Mus musculus (house mouse)
Lineage: Eukaryota; Metazoa; Chordata; Mammalia; Rodentia; Muridae
Product: predicted gene, 33106
Exons: 3
Source: RefSeq, a predicted model, not a curated record